GUUUUAAUAGUUUAAAAACAAAACAUUGGUCUUGUAAAUCAAAGUCAAGGAAAUCCUUUUAAAACU
RNAcentral lists this transfer RNA (66 nucleotides) under Phyllomimus sp. YH-2018. Its description in RNAcentral is "tRNA-Thr". It matches the Rfam family "tRNA". From Rfam's summary of the family: Transfer RNA (tRNA) molecules are approximately 80 nucleotides in length. Their secondary structure includes four short double-helical elements and three loops (D, anti-codon, and T loops). Further hydrogen bonds mediate the characteristic L-shaped molecular structure. tRNAs have two regions of fundamental functional importance: the anti-codon, which is responsible for specific mRNA codon recognition, and the 3' end, to which the tRNAs corresponding amino acid is attached (by aminoacyl-tRNA synthetases). tRNAs cope with the degeneracy of the genetic code in two manners: having more than one tRNA (with a specific anti-codon) for a particular amino acid; and 'wobble' base-pairing, i.e. permitting non-standard base-pairing at the 3rd anti-codon position. Lineage: Eukaryota; Metazoa; Arthropoda; Insecta; Orthoptera; Tettigoniidae. The record is from RNAcentral.